GUCAAGUCAUCAUGGCCUUUAUGCCCAGGGCUACACACGUGCUACAAUGGGGCGUACAAAGGGCUGCCACUUAGCGAUAAGGAGCCAAUCCCAAAAAACGCCUCUCAGUUCAGAUUGCAGUCUGCAACUCGACUGCAUGAAGCUGGAAUCGCUAGUAAUCGUAUAUCAGCAAUGAUACGGUGAAUACGUUCCCGGACCUU
RNAcentral lists this ribosomal RNA (200 nucleotides) under uncultured organism. RNAcentral describes it as "partial small subunit ribosomal RNA". It matches the Rfam family "Bacterial small subunit ribosomal RNA", at positions 1184 to 1382 of the family's 1533-position model. The record is from RNAcentral.